Molecule: ribosomal RNA, 512 nt
Filed under: uncultured bacterium
Lineage: Bacteria
Description: partial 16S ribosomal RNA
Rfam family: Bacterial small subunit ribosomal RNA
Source: RNAcentral
GAUGAACGCUGGCGGCGUGCCUAAUACAUGCAAGUCGAACGAAACUUCUUUAUGCCUGCGUGCUUGAAGUCACCGACGGAGGGUUGAGUGACAAAUGGGUGAGUAACACGUGAGAAACGUGCAAAAACGAGGGGGCUAAGCCAAGGCCACAGAAGAUAAUAAACCAUAAGCAUCAUUACUGAAAGACAACUUUGUAAAAGGUGGCUAAACUAUCGCCUUUGGAUUGGCUCGCGGCGCAUUAGCUAGUUGGUAGGGUAAAGGCUUACCAAGGCAAUGAUGCGUAGCCGAAGUGAGAGGGUGAUCGGCCACAUUGGGACUGAGACACGGCCCAGACUCCUACGGGAGGCAGCAGUAGGGAAUCUUCCGCAAUGGGCGAAAGCCUGAUGGAGCAACGCCGCGUGAGUGAAGAAGGUCUUCGGAUCGUAAAACCCUGUUGUUAGGGAAGAAAGUGCGUGAAAGUAACUGUUCACGUUUUGACGGUAUCUAAUCAGAAAGCCACGGCUAACUACGUG